AGCAGAAAACACCUUCCUAGGAGAUCAGCGCUAACCCCCUGCUGCCCUAACAGGACCGGAGCCUGCUGCUUUGCGCUGCACGCCCUGUCGCCGCAGAGGGCUCGGUUAGGGAAUGAAAGGCUGAGAUGCAACCGAACCCUGCCCCCUUCAGGAGCGCGGAGCGGACUGAGGUUGCAGCUCAAGCAAUAAGCAGGGAAUCCGUUAGCAGUGUAGGCAGAGGCUGUUUUCUGCGAGGAUGCCUGCCAAAGCCAAUGAUCAGAGCAGCAGGAAGGGUUAUUCCUUUAAUUCAGACCCAUGGCUGAGGAAGCUAUACUUGUCCUGUCAAAAUCCAGGCUACCGUUAAAAACAAUCCUCACUGGUGAAAGUCGGGUUUUCAGCUGAAGGAGAGACAUCUUGAUUGACCUCCUGCCCCCACAAAGCACCAGGCCUGAGGAGUGGAAGGAUAGUUCCAGAGUUCGUGUUUUGUGCUUGGCUACAGCAGGGGGCAGGACUACAUUUCUGGCUUCUGCUAUCUGGUCUUGCAAUCAAACAUUUAGAGCCUCAAAGAGUUGAUUUGAGUGUCAGUUAGCAACCAAGGAUGCACCUGAACCUGGGCAGAAAGUGGCAUAAGUGACUGUAGAGAGUCAAUGGAUGGUAGCAGUAAAGCUGUCAUUUUCCAAAGGACUUUUCCAUGCCUGUGAAAUAUCAAGGGGGGGAUUUCCUGAAGUAACAGCAGGACAGUUGCUGUAAUGUAAACAGUCCUAGCAGAUACUCCCAGCGAGAACAGAGGCUGUACUUCACCACUCCCACCGGUCAUCUUUCUCCCCUUUUCUAACCCUCAGGCAGCGAAAACUAUUUAUUUGUCUCAGUUCAAUUGCAAAGUGCAAGGCAGGGGAGGGUAAGGAAUAAGACACACGCUGUGAAAGACUCCCCAAAACAAGGUGGAUGGCAACACAACCUCAAACCAUGGCUGUGUUGUUCUCAGGAGGACUUGUUUUUUUACCCACUGUCCAGACAGGAGGAAUGAUCUAGAGAACAGCCCAGCAGCCCAACAAAGCUCAUCCUUUGGAGGGAUCCAAUGCUCGGACACCAGCUUGAGUCUUGAGUCCUGGCUUCAGUUCCCUGCUCCACACAGAUUUUUUGGCCAAGGCACUUAGCCUCUCUGGGCCUGUCUCUCUACACUGUGAUAAAGGACCCCUAGAAGAGUUGGCGCUGGACAAUUCCACUGAUGCUUUGUCUAUGCUGGCAAUUGAGCUGCAAAGCUUUUGUCAUCCACAGACACUUAAAAAAAUACCCCUCUUUCUCCUGUGCCCUCCCGCAAACUACAAAAGUACUUUGUGAGCAGGAGCGCUCUCAAUAUGGGUCAUAGGGGGCGGAAGUUUUUUGUUGGCAAGAGUGUUUGCACUGCCCAACUUUUUAUCAACGCAGCUGUACAGCCUUACUACUAAAAACUGCACCGUAUAGACACCAACUCCGACUUGCAGGGCUGUAAAAUUGCACUGUAGACAGCUGGGCUACGUCUAGACUGGCAUGAUUUUACGCAAAUGCUUUUAACGGUAACGUUUUCUGUUAAAAGCAUUUGCAGAAAAG
Pelodiscus sinensis (Chinese soft-shelled turtle) is the source of this 1569-nucleotide non-coding RNA. Lineage: Eukaryota; Metazoa; Chordata; Testudines; Trionychidae. The record is from RefSeq and is a predicted model, not a curated record.